UUCUUGGUGGCUGAGACUUGAAGCGCUAAACUUUUAAUUUAGAGACAGUCGAAAACAAAAUUUGACUCCGGGAAA
This 75-nucleotide transfer RNA is filed under the name Dendropoma corrodens (ringed wormsnail). RNAcentral describes it as "tRNA-Lys". Lineage: Eukaryota; Metazoa; Mollusca; Gastropoda; Littorinimorpha; Vermetidae. The record is from RNAcentral.